GGAGUCUAGCAUGUGCGCGAGUCAUUGGGACUUAUAUAAAACCUAAAGGCGAAAUGAAAGUAAAGGUGUAUCUUUGCAUAUACUAAGGGAAGAUGAGUUAUUCAAUGUAAUAGCUUCGCAUUCCCGGGGCGUUUCUUUCUCUUAAUGGUACUUGUAUUAUUAACGAGAUGAGGCGCACCCAGAGCGUACACGCUGGGACCCGAAAGAUGGUGAACUAUGCCUGGUCAGGACGAAGUCAGGGGAAACCCUGAUGGAGGUCCGUAGCGAUUCUGACGUGCAAAUCGAUCGUAAGAACUGGGUAUAGGGGCGAAAGACUAAUCGAACCAUCUAGUAGCUGGUUCCCUCCGAAGUUUCCCUCAGGAUAGCUGGCGCUCGUUUAGAGCACAUAUAUACAUUAGUAUAAUAUAUUUACGAGUCUCAUCCGGUAAAGCGAAUGAUUAGAGGCAUUGGGGUCGAAACGGCCUCAACCUAUUCUCAAACUUUAAAUGGGUGAGAUCUUCGGCUUGCUUAAAUAAUGAAGCUGUAAGAUCGGAUCAGAGUGCCAAGUGGGCCAUUUUUGGUAAGCAGAACUGGCGCUGUGGGAUGAACCAAACGUAGAGUUAAAGCGCCUAAAUUAACGCUUAUGGGAUACCAUGAAAGGCGUUGGUAACUUAAGACAGCAGGACGGUGGCCAUGGAA
This 678-nucleotide ribosomal RNA is filed under the name Eucnemidae sp. UPOL RK0340. RNAcentral describes it as "eukaryotic LSU rRNA". It matches the Rfam family "Eukaryotic large subunit ribosomal RNA", at positions 670 to 1259 of the family's 3401-position model. Lineage: Eukaryota; Metazoa; Arthropoda; Insecta; Coleoptera; Eucnemidae. RNAcentral also lists the same sequence under 1 other name. The record is from RNAcentral.